GGAGAGGUGUCCGAGCGGCCGAAGGAGCACGACUGGAAAUCGUGUGUACGCAAAAACGUACCAUGGGUUCAAAUCCCAUCCUCUCCGCCA
This 90-nucleotide transfer RNA is filed under the name Oscillospiraceae bacterium. Its description in RNAcentral is "tRNA-Ser". It matches the Rfam family "tRNA". Rfam says of the family: Transfer RNA (tRNA) molecules are approximately 80 nucleotides in length. The record is from RNAcentral. Lineage: Bacteria; Bacillati; Bacillota; Clostridia; Eubacteriales; Oscillospiraceae.